Molecule: ribosomal RNA, 3070 nt
Filed under: Campylobacter jejuni
Lineage: Bacteria; Pseudomonadati; Campylobacterota; Epsilonproteobacteria; Campylobacterales; Campylobacteraceae
Description: 23S ribosomal RNA
Rfam family: Bacterial large subunit ribosomal RNA
Source: RNAcentral
UAAAAAAAGGUAAGCUACUAAGAGCGAAUGGUGGAUGCCUUGACUGGUAAAGGCGAUGAAGGACGUACUAGACUGCGAUAAGCUACGGGGAGCUGUCAAGAAGCUUUGAUCCGUAGAUUUCCGAAUGGGGCAACCCAAUGUAUAGAGAUAUACAUUACCUAUAUAGGAGCGAACGAGGGGAAUUGAAACAUCUUAGUACCCUCAGGAAAAGAAAUCAAUAGAGAUUGCGUCAGUAGCGGCGAGCGAAAGCGCAAGAGGGCAAACCCAGUGCUUGCACUGGGGGUUGUAGGACUGCAAUGUGCAAGAGCUGAGUUUAGCAGAACAUUCUGGAAAGUAUAGCCAUAGAGGGUGAUAGUCCCGUAUGCGAAAAACAAAGCUUAGCUAGCAGUAUCCUGAGUAGGGCGGGACACGAGGAAUCCUGUCUGAAUCUGGGUCGACCACGAUCCAACCCUAAAUACUAAUACCAGAUCGAUAGUGCACAAGUACCGUGAGGGAAAGGUGAAAAGAACUGAGGUGAUCAGAGUGAAAUAGAACCUGAAACCAUUUGCUUACAAUCAUUCAGAGCACUAUGUAGCAAUACAGUGUGAUGGACUGCCUUUUGCAUAAUGAGCCUGCGAGUUGUGGUGUCUGGCAAGGUUAAGCAAACGCGAAGCCGUAGCGAAAGCGAGUCUGAAUAGGGCGCUUAGUCAGAUGCUGCAGACCCGAAACGAAGUGAUCUAUCCAUGAGCAAGUUGAAGCUAGUGUAAGAACUAGUGGAGGACUGAACCCAUAGGCGUUGAAAAGCCCCGGGAUGACUUGUGGAUAGGGGUGAAAGGCCAAUCAAACUUCGUGAUAGCUGGUUCUCUCCGAAAUAUAUUUAGGUAUAGCGUUGUGUCGUAAUAUAAGGGGGUAGAGCACUGAAUGGGCUAGGGCAUACACCAAUGUACCAAACCCUAUCAAACUCCGAAUACCUUAUAUGUAAUCACAGCAGUCAGGCGGCGAGUGAUAAAAUCCGUCGUCAAGAGGGAAACAACCCAGACUACCAGCUAAGGUCCCUAAAUCUUACUUAAGUGGAAAACGAUGUGAAGUUACUUAAACAACCAGGAGGUUGGCUUAGAAGCAGCCAUCCUUUAAAGAAAGCGUAAUAGCUCACUGGUCUAGUGAUUUUGCGCGGAAAAUAUAACGGGGCUAAAGUAAGUACCGAAGCUGUAGACUUGCACACAACUUAGAUUAUUUAAGUUUAGAAUAUGAGAAACUAAGUUAUGUUUAGUUAUAUUUUUACUGAUUUUUAUAGAGUAAAGAUAGAAAUAAAACUUAGUAAAAUCAGUAAAAAUAUUCUUAGACUAAAGUUAAGUAGUUUAAGUUGUGUGCAAGUGGUAGGAGAGCGUUCUAUUUGCGUCGAAGGUAUACCGGUAAGGAGUGCUGGAGCGAAUAGAAGUGAGCAUGCAGGCAUGAGUAGCGAUAAUUAAUGUGAGAAUCAUUAACGCCGUAAACCCAAGGUUUCCUACGCGAUGCUCGUCAUCGUAGGGUUAGUCGGGUCCUAAGUCGAGUCCGAAAGGGGUAGACGAUGGCAAAUUGGUUAAUAUUCCAAUACCAACAUUAGUGUGCGAUGGAAGGACGCUUAGGGCUAAGGGGGCUAGCGGAUGGAAGUGCUAGUCUAAGGUCGUAGGAGGUUAUACAGGCAAAUCCGUAUAACAAUACUCCGAGAGCUGAAAGGCUUUUUGAAGUCUUCGGAUGGAUAGAAGAACCCCUGAUGCCGUCGAGCCAAGAAAAGUUUCUAAGUUUAGCUAAUGUUGCCCGUACCGUAAACCGACACAGGUGGGUGGGAUGAGUAUUCUAAGGCGCGUGGAAGAACUCUCUUUAAGGAACUCUGCAAAAUAGCACCGUAUCUUCGGUAUAAGGUGUGGUUAGCUUCGUACUAGGAUUUACUCCGAAAGCGAAGAAACUUACAACAAAGAGUCCCUCCCGACUGUUUACCAAAAACACAGCACUCUGCUAACUCGUAAGAGGAUGUAUAGGGUGUGACGCCUGCCCGGUGCUCGAAGGUUAAUUGAUGGGGUUAGCAUUAGCGAAGCUCUUGAUCGAAGCCCGAGUAAACGGCGGCCGUAACUAUAACGGUCCUAAGGUAGCGAAAUUCCUUGUCGGUUAAAUACCGACCUGCAUGAAUGGCGUAACGAGAUGGGAGCUGUCUCAAAGAGGGAUCCAGUGAAAUUGUAGUGGAGGUGAAAAUUCCUCCUACCCGCGGCAAGACGGAAAGACCCCGUGGACCUUUACUACAGCUUGACACUGCUACUUGGAUAAGAAUGUGCAGGAUAGGUGGGAGGCUUUGAGUAUAUGACGCCAGUUGUAUAUGAGCCAUUGUUGAGAUACCACUCUUUCUUAUUUGGGUAGCUAACCAGCUUGAGUUAUCCUCAAGUGGGACAAUGUCUGGUGGGUAGUUUGACUGGGGCGGUCGCCUCCCAAAUAAUAACGGAGGCUUACAAAGGUUGGCUCAGAACGGUUGGAAAUCGUUCGUAGAGUAUAAAGGUAUAAGCCAGCUUAACUGCAAGACAUACAAGUCAAGCAGAGACGAAAGUCGGUCUUAGUGAUCCGGUGGUUCUGUGUGGAAGGGCCAUCGCUCAAAGGAUAAAAGGUACCCCGGGGAUAACAGGCUGAUCUCCCCCAAGAGCUCACAUCGACGGGGAGGUUUGGCACCUCGAUGUCGGCUCAUCGCAUCCUGGGGCUGGAGCAGGUCCCAAGGGUAUGGCUGUUCGCCAUUUAAAGCGGUACGCGAGCUGGGUUCAGAACGUCGUGAGACAGUUCGGUCCCUAUCUGCCGUGGGCGUAAGAAGAUUGAAGAGAUUUGACCCUAGUACGAGAGGACCGGGUUGAACAAACCACUGGUGUAGCUGUUGUUCUGCCAAGAGCAUCGCAGCGUAGCUAAGUUUGGAAAGGAUAAACGCUGAAAGCAUCUAAGCGUGAAGCCAACUCUAAGAUGAAUCUUCUCUAAGCUCUCUAGAAGACUACUAGUUUGAUAGGCUGGGUGUGUAAUGGAUGAAAGUCCUUUAGCUGACCAGUACUAAUAGAGCGUUUGGCUUAUCUUUAUAAAGCAU